RNAcentral lists this ribosomal RNA (253 nucleotides) under uncultured bacterium. RNAcentral's name for it is "partial 16S ribosomal RNA". It matches the Rfam family "Bacterial small subunit ribosomal RNA", at positions 524 to 776 of the family's 1533-position model. The record is from RNAcentral.
UACGGAGGGUGCAAGCGUUAUCCGGAUUCACUGGGUUUAAAGGGUGCGUAGGUGGGUUGGUAAGUCAGUGGUGAAAUCUCCAGGCUUAACUUGGAAACUGCCAUUGAUACUAUCAAUCUUGAAUACCGUGGAGGUCAGCGGAAUAUGUCAUGUAGCGGUGAAAUGCGUAGAUAUCGGGAGGAACACCUGAGGCGAAGGCGGGCUACUGGGCUGAUACUGACGCUGAUGCGCGAAAGCCAGGGGAGCGAACGGG